GGCUUUGUGGUCUAGUGGUAUGAUUCCCCCUUCGGGUGGGGGAGGCCCCGAUUUCGAUUAUCGGCAAAGCCC
Molecule: non-coding RNA, 72 nt
Organism: Bathycoccus prasinos
Lineage: Eukaryota; Viridiplantae; Chlorophyta; Mamiellophyceae; Mamiellales; Bathycoccaceae
Source: the annotation of a RefSeq genome assembly